AUUGAACGCUGGCGGCAUGCUUUACACAUGCAAGUCGAACGGCAGCACGGACUUCGGUCUGGUGGCGAGUGGCGAACGGGUGAGUAAUACAUCGGAACGUACCCAGUAAUGGGGGAUAACUAUCCGAAAGGAUAGCUAAUACCGCAUACGCCCUACGGGGGAAAGAGGGGGAUCGCAAGACCUCUUGUUAUUGGAGCGGCCGAUGGCUGAUUAGCUAGUUGGUGAGGUAAAGGCUCACCAAGGCGACGAUCAGUAGCGGGUCUUAGAGGACGAUCAGCCACACUGGAACGGAGACACGGUCCAGACUCCUACGGGAGGCAGCAGUGGGGAAUCUUGGACAAUGGGCGCAAGCCUGAUCCAGCAAUGCCGCGUGCGUGAAGAAGGCCUUCGGGUUGUAAAGCGCUUUUGUCAGGGAGCAAAUCCUUGUGGCUAAUACCCACCGGGGAUGAGAGUACCUGAAGAAUAAGGACCGGCUAACUACGUGCCAGCAGCCGCAGUAA
RNAcentral lists this ribosomal RNA (500 nucleotides) under uncultured bacterium. Its description in RNAcentral is "partial 16S ribosomal RNA". It matches the Rfam family "Bacterial small subunit ribosomal RNA", at positions 30 to 523 of the family's 1533-position model. The record is from RNAcentral.